UAACGAGUUAUUAAUGCAUAAAAGUAAAUGAAGCAAGAGAUUACUGUGAUCGAGUAGGCCAUUAGCAGCGUAUAUAUGGUAGAGGAACGCGGCUCCGGCACUCAGUCACUGAUCGAGCUGCACAAUGCUGAAACACGCGAGCUUGUUGCUGCUGCUGCUGGCGGCGCUGCUGAGCGGCUCGGCGCUUGCUAAGCCCUACCUCGGCCUCGGCUUCGGCCUGGGGGGGCUCGGUGGCUACGGUGGCUACGGUGGCUACGGAGGCUACGGCGACUACGGGGGCUACGGGGGCUAUGGAGGCUAUGGCUAUUACCCGUCUAUUUACUAUUAAUUACUAGAUAUACUGAGCUUGAUUAUUUAGUCACUGAAUAAAAUUGAUUACUUAAAA
This is a long non-coding RNA of Helicoverpa zea (corn earworm), 385 nucleotides long. RefSeq lists it as uncharacterized. The record is from RefSeq and is a predicted model, not a curated record. The transcript is spliced from 2 exons. Lineage: Eukaryota; Metazoa; Arthropoda; Insecta; Lepidoptera; Noctuidae.